GACAGAGGGUGCAAACGUUGUUCGGAAUUACUGGGCGUAAAGCGCGUGUAGGCUGCUUGGAAAGUCGGAUGUGAAAGCCCUGGGCUCAACCCAGGAAGUGCACUCGAAACUUCCGAGCUUGAGUUCUGGAGAGGAAGGCGGAAUUCUCGGUGUAGAGGUGAAAUUCGUAGAUAUCGAGAGGAACACCGGUGGCGAAGGCGGCCUUCUGGACAGUGACUGACGCUGAGACGCGAAAGCGUGGGGAGCAAACAGG
Molecule: ribosomal RNA, 253 nt
Filed under: uncultured bacterium
Lineage: Bacteria
Description: partial 16S ribosomal RNA
Rfam family: Bacterial small subunit ribosomal RNA
Source: RNAcentral